UAAUGUUUUAUCAAAAGUCACAAACUUAGGGCUUAGAGUUAAAGGGUGGAGUUUAGAAUUUAGGGUUUAGGGUUUAGGGUUUAGGGUUUAGAGUUUAGAGUUUAGAGUUUAGGGUUUAGAGUUUAGGGUUUAGGGUUUAGGGUUUAGGGUUUUGGGUUUUGGGUUUAGGGUUUAGGGUUUAGAGUUUAGGGUUUAGGGUUUAGAGUUGAGAAAUGAGGUUGUGGGGAUAAGAUUUCAAAUUUUUUAAAAAUAAAAAAAUUAAAAUUUUCAAAGGAUAAACUUAGAAAUGUGCUAUUUUGAUCAUUUUAGUUUUUGAGUGCUAUUUUUGUGAUAUAAACUUAGAAAUGUGCUAUUUUGGAGAUUUGCCCUUUUUUAUAUGUCAAAUUUUUCAUAGAAGUUUA
This 401-nucleotide long non-coding RNA is filed under the name Brassica napus (rape). Its description in RNAcentral is "long non-coding RNA (BNAP_LNC011954)". The record is from RNAcentral. Lineage: Eukaryota; Viridiplantae; Streptophyta; Magnoliopsida; Brassicales; Brassicaceae.